GAUGAACGCUGGCGGCGUGCCUAAUACAUGCCAGUCGAGCGAACAGAUGAGGAGCUUGCUCCCCUGACGUUAGCGGCGGACGGGUGAGUAACACGUGGAUAACCUACCUAUAAGACUGGGAUAACUUCGGGAAACCGGAGCUAAUACCGGAUAAUAUAUUGAACCGCAUGGUUCAAUAGUUAAAGACGGUUUUGCUUUCACUUAUAGAUGGAUCCGCGUCGCAUUAGCAAGUUGGUAAGGUAACGGCUUAACAAGGCAACGAUGCGUAGCCGACCUGAGAGGGACAUCGGACACACGGGAACAGAGACACAGCCGAGACACCUACGGUAGGCAGCAGCAGGGACUCUUCCGCAAUGGGCGAGAGCCUGACGUAGCAACGCCGCCUGAGUGAUGAACGACUUCGGAUCGUAAAGCUCUGUUAUCAGGAAAGAACAAAUGCGUAUUUAACCAUGCACGUAUUGACGGUACCGAAAGAGAAAGCCACGGCUAACUCCGUG
Molecule: ribosomal RNA, 497 nt
Filed under: uncultured bacterium
Lineage: Bacteria
Description: partial 16S ribosomal RNA
Rfam family: Bacterial small subunit ribosomal RNA
Source: RNAcentral